AUAUGGGAAUUUAGACAUAAAAUUACAUAAGAAUACCACAUAUGGAUACGUCUCAAAAAAAUUUGCCACGCGACAUAUAUUUUCGCGAUGCUAUUUAUGGCCUUGAACAAAUCAAAAACACUUUGACAUAUGCUAAAUCACAUGUAAAUACAUACCUCAGGAAAAGUUAUAUCAAUGACAUCAUAAUUGUGUAGCGAAUCGCACUAAAUAUUCUCGCAUUAUUUGUUUUUCUUCGUAACCGUUCCAGAAUUAAGUCAUUACUCAAUUAUCUCCCCUGAAUGCUCUUCUUCAGUGAGUAUAAGCCGAAGACUGGUUCACUACAUAUAGUUACAGUCUUUACCAAACACAAUUUAAGUGAACAUAACCCGUCUUAAAUAUAUUGCCGAAUCUUAGAUUUCUGUCGAAUUUAUUUGCUUUGAUCUUUUCGAUAUCUUAUUGUUAUUAUUAUCCUGACAAAUCACAAACGCUUGUUAAAAAAGUAUUUGUUUUAAACAUUAUAGUUGGCAUCUCUAUUCUUCCAGUAUUCUCGCGGUAUUUCAAUAACGACACCCUACUGUUUAUUUGUCAGAAUAUGUGACGCAUUUUCAUUCGCUCUCAGAAAGCAUUCUAUGCAUAGAUGGUGACGUCACUUCGUUAUUGUGAGUAAGACCGGUGUGUACACAAUGUCUCAGAAAGACGUUUUACGUGUGAUUAUGAGCAAUAUUCUGAAGCUGUUCUGCGAAGCCGAAGGCAAGAGCUGAGCAUCAUACAAGCCAUUCUAUCCAGCAAAACUGACAGUUUUGGUUUACAGAAAUCAACAAAGGAGGGAUUCCUGAUCUAUCAAAUUUCCAAGCUAUACACACAGUUAUUAUCUGUGGUGAUCUUUAUUGGUUCUGCUUGUUUACUUGGAUGGAACAUGUGUGAACUUUUAUAGAACUUUGAAAAGUCUAUAUAUGUCUAUCUAUAAACAAAAAUCAGCUAUUGUAUAAUAAGAUCAGAUGUGCAAACAAUGUCAAAGGGUUGUUAAAUUAACAAUUUGAAGGCAAUUAUGCUGAAAAAAAAUGGAAGUUCCCAUGCAAAUUUUGUCUGUAUAUCGACAAGUGUCUGCCGAUAAUUGUCAAACUAGUAAUACAAAACUUACCACAAGUAUGUAAAAGCACUAAGUACCUGUGAUCAUUUUUAGUAAGAUAGUGUAAUUCUAAACAGUAGCAAAUAGCUUGUUUAGUAAAUGCAUAAUGUAAUUAAUAUGAUUUCCGUUCUAUUGUGUAAUUAAUAAAUUGGUUGUUACUUGUUAAUCCAUGAUAAAUGUUUUAUGGCUAGUACAAAACCAGCAAUGUUAAUUUUGUAAAAGGUAAUACAAUAACACCACUUAGUAAUUUCAUAUACGUAAAUAUUCUUGAAAUGUAGGUUGAUGAUUGUGUUUUAGUUUUACUUAUUUUGUAACUAUUAUUUUAUGUGCAAAGAAAUGAUGUGAAGUGUUUUGUAUCUCCACACAAUACCACAUACCUUUUUAUAUAUGUACUGUGUUAUGUGUUAUUUGAAUGUUUAAAUAAAAAAAAAUGGAUGAUAUAACAUGAUGCAUUCUAAUAUUUGCAUUCAUAUUGUAACUAUAGAGCUAAGUGUAUGCAGUUUAGACUGUGAUUUUAGAAUUGCUACAAAAUGGCUAGUUUUUUAGUGGCGACAAAAUUUAAACUAUUCAACAAUAGUUUGCGAAAGAAAAUUAAAAACCUGCAAGAUACCUGUAUUUAUUAAAUAUUUUAAUUGCGAAUCAAGUAUGUUGUUAUGCUGUUACACAUAAUUAUACAUUGAUAAUAAAUAAGAAGACAAUUA
Dreissena polymorpha is the source of this 1809-nucleotide long non-coding RNA. RefSeq lists it as uncharacterized. The transcript has 2 exons. Lineage: Eukaryota; Metazoa; Mollusca; Bivalvia; Myida; Dreissenidae. The record is from RefSeq and is a predicted model, not a curated record.